GUGGGGAAUAUUGCACAAUGGGGGAAACCCUGAUGCAGCAACGCCGCGUGAGUGAUGAAGGUCUUCGGAUCGUAAAGCUCUGUCUUCAGGGACGAUAAUGACGGUACCUGAGGAGGAAGCCACGGCUAACUACGUGCCAGCAGCCGCGGUAAUACGUAGGUGGCGAGCGUUGUCCGGAUUUACUGGGCGUAAAGGGAGCGUAGGCGGAUUUUUAAGUGAGAUGUGAAAUACCCGGGCUCAACUUGGGUGCUGCAUUUCAAACUGGAAGUCUAGAGUGCAGGAGAGGAGAGUGGAAUUCCUAGUGUAGCGGUGAAAUGCGUAGAGAUUAGGAAGAACACCAGUGGCGAAGGCGACUCUCUGGACUGUAACUGACGCUGAGGCUCGAAAGCGUGGGGAGCAAACAGG
RNAcentral lists this ribosomal RNA (405 nucleotides) under bacterium. Its description in RNAcentral is "bacterial SSU rRNA". It matches the Rfam family "Bacterial small subunit ribosomal RNA", at positions 354 to 776 of the family's 1533-position model. The record is from RNAcentral.